This 253-nucleotide ribosomal RNA is filed under the name uncultured bacterium. RNAcentral describes it as "partial 16S ribosomal RNA". It matches the Rfam family "Bacterial small subunit ribosomal RNA", at positions 524 to 776 of the family's 1533-position model. The record is from RNAcentral.
UACGAAGGGGGCUAGCGUUGCUCGGAAUUACUGGGCGUAAAGGGCGCGUAGGCGGAUAGUUCAGUCAGAGGUGAGAGCCCAGGGCUCAACCUUGGAAUUGCCUUUGAUACUGGCUGUCUUGAGUAUGGGAGAGGUUAGCGGAACUCCGAGUGUAGAGGUGAAAUUCGUAGAUAUUCGGAAGAACACCAGUGGCGAAGGCGGCUAACUGGCCCAUUACUGACGCUGAGGCUCGAAAGCGUGGGGAGCAAACAGG